AAAUUGAAGAGUUUGAUCAUGGCUCAGAUUGAACGCUGGCGGCAGGCCUAACACAUGCAAGUCGAACGGUAACAGGAAGCAGCUUGCUGUUUCGCUGACGAGUGGCGGACGGGUGAGUAAUGUCUGGGAAACUGCCUGAUGGAGGGGGAUAACUACUGGAAACGGUAGCUAAUACCGCAUAACGUCGCAAGACCAAAGAGGGGGACCUUCGGGCCUCUUGCCAUCGGAUGUGCCCAGAUGGGAUUAGCUAGUAGGUGGGGUAACGGCUCACCUAGGCGACGAUCCCUAGCUGGUCUGAGAGGAUGACCAGCCACACUGGAACUGAGACACGGUCCAGACUCCUACGGGAGGCAGCAGUGGGGAAUAUUGCACAAUGGGCGCAAGCCUGAUGCAGCCAUGCCGCGUGUAUGAAGAAGGCCUUCGG
This 424-nucleotide ribosomal RNA is filed under the name Shigella flexneri. RNAcentral's name for it is "bacterial SSU rRNA". It matches the Rfam family "Bacterial small subunit ribosomal RNA", at positions 1 to 421 of the family's 1533-position model. The record is from RNAcentral. Lineage: Bacteria; Pseudomonadati; Pseudomonadota; Gammaproteobacteria; Enterobacterales; Enterobacteriaceae.